This 242-nucleotide ribosomal RNA is filed under the name uncultured bacterium. RNAcentral describes it as "partial 16S ribosomal RNA". It matches the Rfam family "Bacterial small subunit ribosomal RNA", at positions 524 to 765 of the family's 1533-position model. The record is from RNAcentral.
UACGUAGGUGGCAAGCGUUGUCCGGAUUUAUUGGGUUUAAAGGGUGCGUAGGCGGUUCUAUAAGUCAGUGGUGAAAUCCGGCAGCUCAACUGUCGAUGUGCCAUUGAUACUGCAGAACUUGAGUACAGACGAGGUAGGCGGAAUUGACGGUGUAGCGGUGAAAUGCUUAGAUAUCGUCAAGAACACCGAUAGCGAAGGCAGCUUACUAGACUGUAACUGACGCUGAUGCACGAAAGUGUGGG